ACACAUAAUUUGGAGAAAAAUUCAAUGUUGCUAUCUUCAUUAAUUCAUCAUAAUUUACAUCAAUCUCUUUCAAUAUUGCACAAGUAAUUUUAAACUUUCUAAGAAGUGAAAGAUACAAAGAUACAACACCUAAAACCUCUCUCCAAGUAUAUAACCAAAUACUUAAUUUACACCUUAAUCUAACUUAGAGCUACCCUUAAUUAG
Molecule: long non-coding RNA, 204 nt
Filed under: Trifolium pratense (red clover)
Lineage: Eukaryota; Viridiplantae; Streptophyta; Magnoliopsida; Fabales; Fabaceae
Description: long non-coding RNA (TPRA_LNC010243)
Source: RNAcentral